GUGCUCCCCAGCUGUGUGAAGCUGAUGUCCCGGCUGAAGGACGAGUCAUCCAUCUCAUCCUUGAGAGACCUUAGCUCACACCUCAGACUGUGCUCGACCGAGACAGCCUGGAGGAAGGGAGGAGAGAGGGAGAGAGAGCGAUCCCUGAACUGCAGGUGAGUGUUUACCUCAGCCAGCUGUUCGACCAGUCGAUGGUUGUGAUUGGCUAGCUGAGUGAGCUGCUCGCUCUCAUCCCGCCUCCGGUCCCGCCCCCGGCUGUGAUGUCGCUCCAGCUCCUCACGCAAGCUUGUGAUGUCAGAGGUGAGCUCCGCUUCUCUCUGGCCUAGCGUCAUCUCGCUCAUGUCCAACCUUCUCUGGAGCACAUGCUUCUCCUGUUGCAGAACCUGACACACACAAACAAAAACACAUACA
Molecule: long non-coding RNA, 411 nt
Organism: Osmerus eperlanus (European smelt)
Lineage: Eukaryota; Metazoa; Chordata; Actinopteri; Osmeriformes; Osmeridae
Exons: 2
Source: RefSeq, a predicted model, not a curated record